GUUCUUUUAGGUGGUUCCCUUAUUAAUUGGCUCCUUUUAUUAUUUUCUCUGUCCGUCUCUACUUGCUCACCGUUUGAGUGGAGUUCUUUUAGUUGCAGUAGACAGACUUUUUCAGACCAGUGGAGGGAAGUUAGGAGGAAGUGGCACAACCGGGAGAAAGAAUGCCCACAGAGGUCACACUGGAGCAGGAGCCCAGAUCUUGUCUGGUUGUCCCCACAAGAAAACUGACAUAACAACCGGACAGACCUGUGAUGCCUCAGAGGGAGAGGAGCUCUUGGGAGUGGUGCAGCGCAGAGCUUGCUGCCUCAGCUGCCUCUCAGCCUGCCAGCUCGAGAGGUGUCCUUGCAAGGACCGCAUGUGGCCGUGGAAUGGUGGCUCUCCCACUCAGGGGACAUAAAUGCGUGGGUUUGGGAAUAUGGAGAACUUUUGGGGGGAGAGCGGACGAAGAUGAGCAUUUGUUGAGAACUUCUCACAUGCAAGGUGCUAUGUAUACUGUUUGACAUACAGUAUUCGCAAUUUUGCAUCAAA
Myotis davidii is the source of this 528-nucleotide long non-coding RNA. RefSeq lists it as uncharacterized. Lineage: Eukaryota; Metazoa; Chordata; Mammalia; Chiroptera; Vespertilionidae. The transcript has 2 exons. The record is from RefSeq and is a predicted model, not a curated record.